Molecule: long non-coding RNA, 992 nt
Organism: Salvia splendens (bonfire salvia)
Lineage: Eukaryota; Viridiplantae; Streptophyta; Magnoliopsida; Lamiales; Lamiaceae
Exons: 4
Source: RefSeq, a predicted model, not a curated record
AUAUAUAUAUAGGGUAGUGUUAAACUCCUAUUUUCCCCUUAGAUUUAAGUUUCUACGCAAUCUCGGUCGUUGGAUUAGGAGGAUGGACGUUCUAGAUUAUAAUCUAAUUUACCAUCCCGCGUUUCAUUAUUUACCCAGUUUGAUGCAUCAUGAGGGUGAUUUAGUCAUUUUGUGUACUAAAAAACGUUGAAAACCUAUUGACCAAAAUUUAAGCGGGCUACUCCACUACUUUCCAUCGACUAAAUACAUCUUUCAUCACCAAUCGCAUUUACGCAAAAAUCUCGCUCCAGAUUCUCUCUCACGAACGACGCCACAAAUUCCUUCCAGUGCGAAAAACCCUAGCCGCCGCUGUUCAAAAGCGCGGCGUUUUCUCGGAGAUUCACCGCUGGGUGCCUUGCUUUCCAUAAUCCCCUCACGGUUUGAACUAGAUUUCGUUGGACUACAACAGCAGAUUUCAUCAUGACUAAAAGAGGUAGACCUACGAAAUCGCAACAAACACAAGAAGAGGAUUUAUCAUGACGAAAAGAGGACGUCCUUCAACUUCACAACCAUCCCAGUCUGAAGCUAAGAUUGGACAUCGACGAGGCGGUCGAUGAUAUACUGCGAGUAGGAAUUGCCCAAAAAUUUCAGGAGCGAUUAUCAGAGGCCGGGACUAGUACAGCUUCGGAAGAGACGGAGGAUAUGAAACCAAGGGGUAGGAACGUCGACCAUCUGUAUUGUCGGCGAACCCCAACAGAGUUUCUGAAUUGUAUUAAGAGUUUAACUCCAUGACAGAAGGAAGCCGUCACGGAACUUGUACAUGAGUCUAAGAGUGAAUGCAAUAUUUGUACAUUAUUUAGCUAUUUCUAUGCAUUAUAUAUCCUGUUUUAUGCAUCAUUAGACUGCUGCUGUACAUAAGUCCAAGAAUGAAUGCAAUAUUUGUAUGUUCAUUACUUGAGUUAUUCUGUACAUUAUUUGGCUAUUUGAAUGAAUUAUUUAUCAUGUUUUAUGCA